UGGCCUGUAGCUCAAUGGUAGAGUACGCGCCUCUUAAGCGUGGGGUUGUGGGCUCGCGUCCCACCGGGCCAACGA
RNAcentral lists this transfer RNA (75 nucleotides) under Flaviaesturariibacter aridisoli. RNAcentral describes it as "Flaviaesturariibacter sp. 17J68-15 tRNA-Lys". It matches the Rfam family "tRNA". Rfam says of the family: Transfer RNA (tRNA) molecules are approximately 80 nucleotides in length. Lineage: Bacteria; Pseudomonadati; Bacteroidota; Chitinophagia; Chitinophagales; Chitinophagaceae. The record is from RNAcentral.